RNAcentral lists this long non-coding RNA (604 nucleotides) under Rattus norvegicus (Norway rat). RNAcentral describes it as "long non-coding RNA NONRATT027473". Lineage: Eukaryota; Metazoa; Chordata; Mammalia; Rodentia; Muridae. The record is from RNAcentral.
UCCUGUUUCCAGCCCUAAAUCCGGUCAGGAUUCAGCGUUCGAGCUACAAGUUGUGUCGUCGCUAGGUUCGAGGACAUUGGAGCUCCAGCCACAAUGAUUGAGGUGGUUUGCAACGACCGUCUAGGAAAGAAAGUCCGCGUUAAGUGCAACACCGAUGACACCAUCGGCGACCUGAAGAAACUGAUAGCGGCUCAAACUGGCACCCGCUGGAAUAAGAUCGUUCUUAAAAAGUGGUAAGUACGCGCUGGUCAGUAUCAGGCUAGAGGGCGUUCGUUGGAGCGAGCACCUCAAGACAAUCCCGAAGAGCUUGUUUUCAGGACAAAAAACACCCCACCCCUUAUCAGCUUCUCUCUGAAAGCUAUCUAUCCCGUAGGUACACGAUUUUUAAAGACCACGUGUCUCUGGGAGACUGUAUCCUUUCAAGAAAGAAUUCACGUAUUUAUCUCAAGUUCUGGUUCUGUGCUGAAACCUGUACAGAAAUUAAGCAAGAGGGAUGCUUAACUUAGAAUAUGCCCCAUUAUGACUACUGAGAAAAUGGAAACUGUGGAAAUUAUUUUGCUGGUGAGAAGGAUCGUUGGCGAAAUAUACUUGGUUCAAAAUACUU